ACGUGGGAACGUGCCUUUAGGUUCGGAAUAACUCAGGGAAACUUGUGCUAAUACCGAAUGUGCCCUUCGGGGGAAAGAUUUAUCGCCUUUAGAGCGGCCCGCGCCUGAUUAGCUAGUUGGUGAGGUAAAGGCUCACCAAGGCGACGAUCAGUAGCUGGUCUGAGAGGAUGAUCAGCCACAUUGGGACUGAGACACGGCCCAAACUCCUACGGGAGGCAGCAGUGGGGAAUCUUGCGCAAUGGGCGAAAGCCUGACGCAGCCAUGCCGCGUGAAUGAUGAAGGUCUUAGGAUUGUAAAAUUCUUUCACCGGGGACGAUAAUGACGGUACCCGGAGAAGAAGCCCCGGCUAACUUCGUGCCAGCAGCCGCGGUAAUACGAAGGGGGCUAGCGUUGCUCGGAAUUACUGGGCGUAAAGGGAGCGUAGGCGGACAUUUAAGUCAGGGGUGAAAUCCCGGGGCUCAACCUCGGAAUUGCCUUUGAUACUGGGUGUCUUGAGUGUGA
This 501-nucleotide ribosomal RNA is filed under the name Brevundimonas sp. WH087. Its description in RNAcentral is "bacterial SSU rRNA". It matches the Rfam family "Bacterial small subunit ribosomal RNA", at positions 115 to 651 of the family's 1533-position model. The record is from RNAcentral. Lineage: Bacteria; Pseudomonadati; Pseudomonadota; Alphaproteobacteria; Caulobacterales; Caulobacteraceae.